Molecule: long non-coding RNA, 1406 nt
Organism: Ailuropoda melanoleuca (giant panda)
Lineage: Eukaryota; Metazoa; Chordata; Mammalia; Carnivora; Ursidae
Exons: 4
Source: RefSeq, a predicted model, not a curated record
CCCAGUGCAUGUUUCGGCUCGAGUGCUCCCAGUUUGCAAACUACCUUUUUGGUGUGUGCACGAUCAACUUCUACUAAUGACUACUUUGGUGAUUCAUUGGUAUUGCUUGUGUUAUUUCUGAACUUUGACAUUUCAUGGUGUGAGAAGUGGAAUUCAAAGAAGACCCCGAUGACUCUGAGGCCCUCGGGCGAACAGGUGCUGGUACCCACAGAGCCCAUUGAGCUCCGUGCUGUCUUGUUGCCCCUGGGAUUUGUGCAUUUUAUUUGUUGAAGCUCCUUGCCGAAUACUGGACUGGAUCCUGAAUUCUUCCAGUUUCCUCUAACAUUUGGCUGGAACUCUCCAAACUAACGUUGCCAAUUUUCUCCCACUCUUUGGACUUGGAAUCACUAUGAAACAAAAACUGUCCUUUUCCUGAAACCAUGCAAGCCAGAGCUGGAUGGCUUAAUGUAAACUUCAGGGAAAUCACUGCAACAGCUCAUGUGUGGACAAUUUUCAUGCCUGUGGCUAUGUGGCUGUUCAGAAAGUUCACCGGAGACAUUCACGCUACAAACCAGGAAAAUUCGUCAGAUUGCCACUGCCUGCCCUCACUCCAUCUGAAGAUGCUUAGAACUCAACAUCUAGAAAUCUUCUCCACUGGCAGCUGUCCAAACUCAGAAACUGAAUUUAUAAUUUUCUCAAACUAUUAACCUUCGUUUUUCUUACAUUCCCACGGAAAUGCCUCUCAUUAAAUCACCUGAUUGCUCAUAUCAUGUUGAAGCCUGAGGUCAAGCUUGCCUGACAGGACCUCCCGAAAGAAAACGUCCUCACGUUCAUCUUGUCCUGAGUAGUCACGAGGAUACGUGUCUGCUAACGUGUCGUGUUGUGCCUAGCAGUGGUGAAAAACACUGACUUUCUCUCCCAGAACUUCCAGUCCAAUGAGGUCCCCGAAACCUCUCUGCAUGGACCAUCACAGUUCCUAAAUGCUCUCUGCUACAUAUGACCCUUGGCUUCCAGGAAUGAUUGCCAGAAGAUUCCAGUUACGGUGCACAAACUGGGAGAAGUAUCACUUUAUGCCGUUAUCAUCCAUUUAGAACCAUCAAUUUGUGGACUGAACCAGUGUGUCCCGGCAGAUAUCACAGAAUCAGAGACAGUGAGAUGAAAGGACAGCACUGAGAAAGUAAAAAAGUCAGGAAGAAAGGCAACACUGCAGAAAAUUCAAGAAAAAUAGUCAGCCAGUUUUUUUAAAUGCAAAGAACAGAAGAGAGAGAGGAGGCCUGAAGAGUUGGCAUGAGGAGAAGGAAGCGUUUGCUGUUAUAUACAGCAGAAGCUGCUGUCCUACCCAGCGUGAUGAAUUCCCAGAGGCCAGAGCUGCGGGAGACAUGCAGGGCUCCUGGGAGCAGCCCGUGCAGGAGGGGAGCUAACCGUGA